This 73-nucleotide transfer RNA is filed under the name Actinomycetota bacterium. Its description in RNAcentral is "tRNA-Thr". It matches the Rfam family "tRNA". Rfam says of the family: Transfer RNA (tRNA) molecules are approximately 80 nucleotides in length. The record is from RNAcentral. Lineage: Bacteria; Bacillati; Actinomycetota.
GCCCGGGUAGCUCAACUGGUGGAGCAUCGCUCUUGUAAAGCGGAGGUUGCGGGUUCGAGUCCCGCCCCGGGCU